CCACGGGAUACAGCAGUAAUUAAAAUUAAGCAAUAAACGAAAGUUUGACUAAGUUAUGCAACAUUAUAUAGGGUUGGUAAAUUUCGUGCCAGCCACCGCGGUCAUACGAUUAACCCUAAUUAAUAAAGCCCGGCGUAAAGAGUGUUAAAAUUACAAAAACAAUAAGAUUAAAUUUUACCUAAGUCGUAAAAAACAACAGAUAAAAAUAAAAUCAUAAACGAAAGUAAUCUUAAUAAAUCUGAAUACACUAAAGCUAAGACCCAAACUGGGAUUAGAUACCCCACUAUGCUUAGCCAUAAACAAAGAUAUUUAAUAACAAAAAUUUUCGCCAGAGUACUACUAGCAACAGCUUAAAACUCAAAGGACUUGGCGGUGCUUUAAACCCACCUAGAGGAGCCUGUUCUAUAAUCGAUAAACCCCGAUAUACCUUACCACUUCUUGCUAAUCCAGUCUAUAUACCGCCAUCUCCAGCAAACCCCAACAGGGAUUAAAAGUAAGCACAACUAUGCUCGUAAAAACGUUAGGUCAAGGUGUAACUAAUGAAGUGGAAAGCAAUGGGCUACAUUUUCUUCUUCCAAGAAAACAACAACAGUAAUCUUUAUGAAAUUAAAGAUUUAAGGAGGAUUUAGUAGUAAAUUAAGAAUAGAGAGCUUAAUUGAAUUAGGCAAUAAAGCACGCACACACC
Molecule: ribosomal RNA, 685 nt
Filed under: Capromys pilorides (Desmarest's hutia)
Lineage: Eukaryota; Metazoa; Chordata; Mammalia; Rodentia; Capromyidae
Description: partial 12S ribosomal RNA
Rfam family: Bacterial small subunit ribosomal RNA
Source: RNAcentral